GAUAGGCUAAUUAAGGGCGUAUGGGGAAUGCCUAGGCUCUCAGAGGCGAAGAAGGACGUGAUAAGCUGCGAAAAGCUACGGUUAGUGGCACAUACACUGUGAUCCGUAGAUAUCCCAAUGGGGCAACCCGGCAUAUUGAAGAUAUGUCAUCCGACCUAGUCGGAAGCAAACCCGGAGAACUGAAACAUCUAAGUACCCGGAGGAGAAGAAAACAAAAGUGAUUCCGUUAGUAGUGGCGAGCGAAAGCGGAAGAGCCCAAACCAUAUUUGUUACGGCAAAUAGGGGGUUAUAGGACCACGACAUUUAAUGCUUGC
RNAcentral lists this ribosomal RNA (314 nucleotides) under uncultured Flavobacteriaceae bacterium. RNAcentral's name for it is "bacterial LSU rRNA". It matches the Rfam family "Bacterial large subunit ribosomal RNA", at positions 1 to 325 of the family's 2925-position model. Lineage: Bacteria; Pseudomonadati; Bacteroidota; Flavobacteriia; Flavobacteriales; Flavobacteriaceae. The record is from RNAcentral.